This is a non-coding RNA of Brassica rapa (field mustard), 125 nucleotides long. NCBI's taxonomy places the organism in Eukaryota, Viridiplantae, Streptophyta, Magnoliopsida, Brassicales, Brassicaceae. The record is from Rfam.
GGAAUAUAACAACCCGUCUCUUAACUUUUAACUAAAAAAGCUAAGAACCGGCUCUUAAAUAAGAAUUUUAAGAACCGAUUCUUAGUUUUUUUAGUUAAAAGUUAAGAGACGGGUUCUUAUAUUCC